This 3852-nucleotide long non-coding RNA is filed under the name Sus scrofa (pig). Its description in RNAcentral is "lncRNA (ENSSSCG00015025376.1)". The record is from RNAcentral. Lineage: Eukaryota; Metazoa; Chordata; Mammalia; Artiodactyla; Suidae.
ACAAGGGAAGGCCUUUCGCACAGUCCCAAGGCCAGGAAGACGGAGGACGAGAACCCAGGAGCCCCCACGUCACCCCUGGGCUGUGCCUCUGCCCUCCAAGGCAUCAGUGACUUGAACAGCCUUCAGGCCUAGGUAGGGACAAGAAAGGACCUGCCCGUGUCACUCUGGAAGCCAGCCCACCGCAGGCCAGUUCUUACAGCCAGUCCAAGGUGCUUGGCAACGUGGACCUUCUCAAGAAGAAAUUCUGCUUGAAUGGACCAUCUCCAAGGUCCACCUGCAGCGGGGCGGGUCCCCGGGAACCAACAAGGAACAGGCUUGCUGUGGACCAGCACUGCUCGAUGGGUUCAAGGCGUCCUUGUCUGCUAAACAGGAAGGCAUGUGUGAUUCUGGCCUCCAGGUGGCUGAGUCCCAGCUAAGAGCGGAGGCAGCCCUGGGCUGUACAGAACCGACAGCAGGGGGUCCUCUGCUUCCUGAAAUGCACAUCUGCCCCAUAGCCAGCCUCCCGCCUUAGGAAAAGCAGCCGGGCUUGUCCCCCAAGCCCACGCAGGCUGUGUCUGUUACUUGCAUCUGGGAUGCCGUGGGGAGUGUGGUACCCAAAGGGUAAGGAGUGUCACCUCGCCUUGGCCAUCUGUGACUCUGGAACUUAAGGACUUCUGUGUCAGAAGAAAGGCACCCCUCUUUGGAACAUUUGCACCUGCAGAACCAGACCCGGGCCCCAGGAUCACGGAAUCCACUGGGGUCAGUAUGAAGUGACCACAGACAUUGCGACCACCAUGGGCCAGCUCCAAUAUGACAAGGCCAUCUGCUGAUGGGCCACAGGCGUUGCCUGCAGAAGGACGCCCAAGGCAACUUGGGUGGAGACACGGCCAGCUGUGUGACAUUAUAGGGUUUCCAGACCUGGGACCAGGAAGCAGCCACAAGGCUUCCUUCCCUCCAACCAAAGUUCUCAGGGUGCAAAAGGCAGCCUUGCCAACCGGCCUGGCCAAUCCCAUGCUGAGCCCAGCCCUGUGCCUGAUCCGUCAUCAAGGGCAACCCAGCUGGUGUUUCAGGAAGAACCCAGCCUUCAAAGUUGACUUCAAAUUGCUAUGAAUCACCCUAUCUGAUGCAAAUGUGGGCUUGGGUAGACUCGGAGAUAGCUGAUUGCCUCAGAUUAAUCCACAGUUGCCUCGGCAGGUAAUUUACUUCUGGGAGUUUCAGGGACUAAGAAGAACAAGGCAUUUGCAUAAAUAGACUAAACUCAGAGUCCAGGCAGCCAGCCGGUUCUCUGGCUGGCAGCUCCUGGUGACAGAGGACUCCCAUGAUUCAGGACCCCACCCACCUAUCCAUAUCCCAUACGUGAAAAGCAUCCUUGAAGUCCGGCCAUGGUCCCCAGCCACUGCCCCUGAUAAGUGGGUGCUCCACUGCAGUGCCCCUCAGCAGGUGGUCUGUCUCUCCACAUUUCUGUGACUUUUGCUGCAACCAAAUUCUUUCUUGCCCUGGGUAGCGAUCCACCAUCAUGGCUCCAGUCACCCCAGGUCAACUGGCUUUGUCCUGGGAUGUUCCUUCAUGCGUUUGAAGUGUUCCCUGGCUUCUCUGUGCAGACCAAAGCCCUGGACUUCCUAAUACAGCAGGGUUCUGGAACACUCCACCAUCUGGUCAGCCUCCUCCAGGCUUCCUUUCCUUGCAGCCUUCCUCUGAGAAUGUGGCAGCCAUACCAGGGGUGGGCUCACCAGUAUCACCUCCCUUGUUUCAGCCACUGUACUCCUAUUAAUAUGACCUGGCCUUUUGGACAGCUCAACCGCAUGGUGUCUCGUAAUAAGAUUUAGAGUUAACUAAACACGCCCUUUGUAAAAUGGGCACUGUUUGGCCUCCUUUCUCCCAGCUGGUAGCUGUUCUGUUGAGGUUUGGAGCUAAAUACUACACUUAAUAUUUAUUUCUGUGUGUGUGUGUGUGUGUGUGUGUGUGUGUGUGUGUGUGUAUUUGUCUUUUUACGCCCACACCCUUGGCAUAUGGAGGCUCCCAGGCUAGGGGCGAGUCAGAGCUGUAGCUGCCAGCCUACACCACAGCCAUAGCAACGCCAGAUCCUUAACCCACUGAGCGAGGCCAGGGAGCGAACCCUCAACGUCAUGGUUCCUCGUCAGAUUCGUUUCCACUGCACCACAACGGGAACUCCCUAUUCCUGUUAUAUAUUGUUGUUUUAAUUUGACCUGUCCUUCCGUCCCUGUCACUCACAGUAAUUUUCUGCCAUUUGGAAACCUGUUACAAACGCCUUCGGUGGCUUGACCCAGGUUAUUAUUUAAAAAGCAUUUUCUGUUAUGGAUGCGGUUAAUCAUUACAGCCAGCAGCUUGCUUUUCUCUACCUUUUUUCAAAAGGCAAUAUGCUAAUGGCUUUGCUAAAAUAUCUUAAAAUGUUAGCGCCGGAAGAGAUGCUAAGGACAUGUGCUUCAACUCCUUCAUUUGACGGAGGAGGGAACUGAGGCAGAGGGGUGCCAGGGACCAUGGAGACCCCCGAUCUGUGGCAGAGCCGGGCGCUGUGACUCAAAUAUUCCAACCCAGGUAUCCUUUGGAUAUUUGUGCAGAAAAAAAAAAAAAGAAGAAGAUGAUGGGCAUAUGGCACCAUGUCUACUGGAGGAUUCCAAGAGCAGACAACAGAAUCUUGGGGAGGAGGAGCUUGGUGGCUUAAAAGCCACAGCUGCCCAUCAGCUGAUGAAUAAACACCACGUGCUCUGGCCUUUUCACGGCAGGUUAUCCAGCAGCCCCGGAAAGAAAUGAGGCAUUGGCUCACAGCAACAUGGGUGACUCUUGACAAUAUUCUGGUGCGUGAAAGAAGCCAAUCACAAGUAUUGUGUGAUUCCUCUAAUGCAAAACGUCCACAAUAGUUAAACCCACAGAGAGAGAAAGCAGUGCAUGCGUGCCAGGGCCUGCAGAUGGAGGGGGAGACCAGAGUGGCAGCUGAUGAAUGGUACAGGGUUUUUUGGGGUUUGGGGAGUGGCUGGGGUCAUGAAACUGCUGUCAAAAUUAGUGGUGAUGACUACAGGACUUCGUGAUUACACUCAAAACUACUGAAUUGUAUAUUUUCGAGUGGUUUCAAUGGUGAAUUUUAUGGCAUGGAGAUUAUAUCUGAAUUUUUGGAAAAGAAGCCCCAGGGGGCCUUUGCACUUGUGGCCCCUGAAGCAGAAAGGAGGUGCACACAAUGAGGUACCACCUCACCCCGGCCAGAAGGGCCAUCAUCAAAAAGUCUACAAACAGUAAGUGCUGGAGAGGGUGUGAAGAAAAAGAAACCUCAUUACACCGUUGGUGGGACUAUAAACUGGUGCAACCACUGCGGAAAACAGUAUAGAGAUUCCUCAGGAAACUAAAAAUAGAAUUACCAUUUGAUCCAGCAGUCCCACUCCUGGGCAUCUAUCCAGAGAAAGCCAUGGCUUAAAUAGACACAUGUACUCCAGUGUUCAUUGCAGCACUGUAUACAACAGCCAAGAGAGGGAAAUAAUCUAAAUGCCCAUCAACAGAGGAGUGGAUCAAGAAGAAGUGGUACAUAUAUACACAAUGGAAUAUUACUCAGCCAUUAAAAGGAAAGAAAUAACGGCAUUUGCAGCAACAUGGAUGGACCCAGAAAUUAUCAUGCUAAAUGAAGUCAGACAGUGCGACACCAACAUCAAAUGCUAUGACUUACAUGUGUGAUCUAAAAAAAGGACACAAUGAGCUUCUCUGCAGAACAGAUACUGACUCACAGACUUUGAAGAACCUAUGGUUUCCUGAUGAGACAGGUUGGGGACUGGGGGGAUGCACUGAGGGUUUGGGAUGGAAAUGUGAUAAAAUUGGGUUGUGAUGAUCGUUGUACACCUAUAAAUGUAAUAAAAUUCAUUGAGUAAU